Molecule: long non-coding RNA, 1544 nt
Filed under: Nicotiana tabacum (common tobacco)
Lineage: Eukaryota; Viridiplantae; Streptophyta; Magnoliopsida; Solanales; Solanaceae
Description: long non-coding RNA (NTAB_LNC014220)
Source: RNAcentral
ACCCAUCUCAAUCUUCUUCUUCCACCUCCUCCCGACACAAACCUCUUGAGAAAGAAAUCACAACAAAAAUACAAUAUUUAUUAUUCCCAGAAAACACAUUAAGAUGCCUAGACUGUAACCCCAAAGCUACCAAGGCCAAGAAAUAGAGUAAUAACCUUCACUGGUCCUUCAAGGCUCGUCUACAGUUUCAACAAGUUUGCACCCCGACAAGCCUUGCAGUAGGGGGGCUUUUGUAGUCAUUUAAAUUUUAUUGAAUUUAAAUUCAUAAAAUAAUUUGGAUUAUAUUUGAAUUUCAAGAUAUAUUAGUCCAAACAAAAAAUUGUGGCUAAUAUAAUGGAUUAAAUAUUUAAGUCCAAUAGAUAUGGAUUUAAUUAAAAGCACAAUUUUGUUGGGCUAAUCCAUUAUUUGUGCUUCAAAUGAUUGAGCCCACUUUCCCAGCCCGAGAUCACAUCUUAUCCUAAAGGAGUACAUUUGUUUCGUGUGUCAAAUGACGUGACACACCAUAACAUAACAUGGCAAGUCAUAUUGUAAUGCAAAUGAAAAUGCAUCGCAUGUACAUGUGAUAUGUUCUACCAAUAAGAGAUUUAUUUGUAUCAAAGCUCUCUCUUGUUUGUUGUGAAUUCAUCCCCCUUUUAAGUUAUGGUGGACCCUUAUUUAUAGUUGUGGAUGAGGAGUUAUGAUGAGAACAAAUUUAUUUACUUUGAUUUGAUUGGUUGGCUUGAGUCACCAACCACACAUAUUAAAGUUGUGACAAAGCCACAUUUGAUUGGCCACAACACUUGCACACGCGGCAUGUUUUCAUUGGCCUUAAUAUUUGACUUGGCAUGCUCAUGCUAUGCCAUUUGGUAUAUGGUAUACCCUAUAAGCUCCUUUACUUGACUUGGCGUACCACACCAUUUGACACAUGAUACAUUUGGCCCUCUAGGAUAAGAUGACAUCUUGGGCCAACAAAUUUGGCUCAUUAUUUGGAUCCCAAAUAAAUGGACUAGCCCAACAAAAUUGGACAUUAGUUAAACUUAUAUCUAAAGGACUUAAAUAUUUAAUCCAAUUAGUAAUAUUUAUUAGACUAAUAUAUCUUGAAUAUAAAAUAAUAUCUAGAUUAUUUUAUGGAUUUAAUCUAACCAAUUUAAAUGUUUACAAUUCUGUCUAACACAAAGUAAAAUUUCACCAAUGGAUUAUCCAUGAAAGAAGUUGUUUCAAUGUUUCAUAAGACAGAAUGAGAUGUAGGUACCAGGAUGGUCAAGUAUCAGUUUUGCAUUCAGGCAUUUUGGAAAUAGCACCAAAAGAUAUUCCAACAUAGUAUAAUGUUAAAAAAAAUGGAUUCCAAGGAUCUAAUAAGGAAUCACGCCAUCCUAGGGGAAUGCUGGAAUGAUGAGAUAGAAGAGAAAUACAAAACAUCGACAAAGCCACAAUGGUUGUCAAUGAAGCAAAGGUUAAUGUGAGGCUAUAGAUGAGUUAGUAGCACAUAAUUGCUAAGGAUACUAUCCAAUAAUCCAACCACACAAAUAGAGCACAAACUCUCUUUUUUGGGGGUGGGGGGCUGG